Molecule: non-coding RNA, 1215 nt
Organism: Musa acuminata subsp. malaccensis (wild Malaysian banana)
Lineage: Eukaryota; Viridiplantae; Streptophyta; Magnoliopsida; Zingiberales; Musaceae
Source: RefSeq, a predicted model, not a curated record
UAAAAUCGUUUCGGUCGUAUAAACGCCACGAGUUUCUGCUUCGACACGGGCAAGAAGUUCCAAAACCCUCCACUGCCGAUCGCCGCUACUCGCUUUCUGGCGCGUUUGCUUCCACGCCGCAGCGAACCUCCUCAAGGUCGCGAUCUUUGGCGGCGCCGGCCUCUGCAACGGCGAAGGUGGCCACCGCGCCAUCGGCUUCAAUCGCAUCUACGGCAUCAAGGACAAGGUCUCGAAGUCUUCCCGAAUGAUCUAAUUAGUCGACUAAUAGGGCGAUCGUGUGGUUUCCUCGUUAGUUUGGUGUGGGGGGUGCCCUUUGAGGCUACCAAGUUCGAUUCGGGUGUGGCGAUUGUGUUUCGGGGAUCUUUCCUGUUUCAUCGAAGGGAGUGCUAUCUGAAUGCGGUUUUGAUGGUUUUAGUUCUGGUUAUCGUAGGUAAGGUGGAGCUUCGUCGUGCAGGUUUGUCCCGAAGGAACGCAUCUGAUGGUACCGUGGUUGGAGAGGCCAAUCAUAUACGAUGUUCGCGCAUGGCCUCAGCUCGUGGAGAGUACUUCAGGGAGCCGUGAUCUGCAAAUGGUAAAAAUUGGGCUUCGUGUUCUGACAUGGCCAUUUGCGGACUGCUUGGCUACAAUAUACCUUUCUCUUGGGGAGAAUUACAAUGAGACAGUUUUGUCAUCUAUUAUUCAUUAGACACUGAAAUCUGUGGUGGCACAAUGCAAUGCCAGCCAGCUGAUCACACAAAGGGAGCAUUUGCAGGCUGUCACUGUAUGAUGUCUCAAUUGCAUCCUUGAGCUUUGGUAGGGACAGAAGCAAAACAGGUGGCAGCACAGGAGGCUGAGCAGGCAAAGUUCAUUGUGGAGAAGGCAGAGCAAGAUAAGAAAUGUGCUAUCAUAAGAGCACAGGUGAGAUAGAGUCAUAAUUUACAUAAUUCUUUCAAUGAACUAGGAAUUCUUUUGUAAUACUAUUCUUUUUGCAGUAAUUAGCAUAUUGCUCUGAGAAACUAAAUUAAUUAACACCAAGUCUCUUAUGGCUUUAGUUGUUUACUCAUAACAACCUGUAGGUGAGAUUGGUCACAUGCCCCUAAAUUGUAGUUCUCUAUCAAUCAACUAACAUAUUGCAAUAUUGCUUGUAUGAUUCUACAUCUUUUCUGGCUAAAGAGCAACCUGUAGAUGAGAUGGUCAGGGGCCCCUAGAUUGUAUAUUUAUUUCAAUGAAUUGGGU